This 772-nucleotide ribosomal RNA is filed under the name uncultured Vagococcus sp. RNAcentral's name for it is "bacterial SSU rRNA". It matches the Rfam family "Bacterial small subunit ribosomal RNA", at positions 28 to 776 of the family's 1533-position model. Lineage: Bacteria; Bacillati; Bacillota; Bacilli; Lactobacillales; Enterococcaceae. The record is from RNAcentral.
GACGAACGCUGGCGGCGUGCCUAAUACAUGCAAGUCGAACGCACGAAGUUGAAGAGCUUGCUCUUUAACCAAGUGAGUGGCGGACGGGUGAGUAACACGUGGGUAACCUGCCCAUUAGAGGGGGAUAACAUUCGGAAACGGAUGCUAAUACCGCAUAGUUUCAGGAAUCGCAUGAUUCUUGAAGGAAAGGUGGCUUCGGCUACCACUAAUGGAUGGACCCGCGGCGUAUUAGCUAGUUGGUGAGGUAAUGGCUCACCAAGGCAAUGAUACGUAGCCGACCUGAGAGGGUGAUCGGCCACACUGGGACUGAGACACGGCCCAGACUCCUACGGGAGGCAGCAGUAGGGAAUCUUCCGCAAUGGACGAAAGUCUGACGGAGCAACGCCGCGUGAGUGAAGAAGGUUUUCGGAUCGUAAAACUCUGUUGUUAAAGAAGAACAAGGAUGAGAGUAACUGCUCAUCCCCUGACGGUAUUUAACCAGAAAGCCACGGCUAACUACGUGCCAGCAGCCGCGGUAAUACGUAGGUGGCAAGCGUUGUCCGGAUUUAUUGGGCGUAAGGCGAGCGCAGGCGGUUCUUUAAGUCUGAUGUGAAAGCCCCCGGCUCAACCGGGGAGGGUCAUUGGAAACUGGAGAACUUGAGUGCAGAAGAGGAGAGUGGAAUUCCACGUGUAGCGGUGAAAUGCGUAGAUAUGUGGAGGAACACCAGUGGCGAAGGCGACUCUCUGGUCUGUAACUGACGCUGAGGCUCGAAAGCGUGGGGGAGCAAACAGG